GAGGGUAUAGCUCAGUGGUAGAGCACAUGCUUAGCAUGCACGAGGUCCUGGGUUCAAUCCCCAGUACCUCA
Molecule: transfer RNA, 71 nt
Filed under: Camelus bactrianus (Bactrian camel)
Lineage: Eukaryota; Metazoa; Chordata; Mammalia; Artiodactyla; Camelidae
Also listed under: 1 other name
Rfam family: tRNA
About the family: Transfer RNA (tRNA) molecules are approximately 80 nucleotides in length. Their secondary structure includes four short double-helical elements and three loops (D, anti-codon, and T loops). Further hydrogen bonds mediate the characteristic L-shaped molecular structure. tRNAs have two regions of fundamental functional importance: the anti-codon, which is responsible for specific mRNA codon recognition, and the 3' end, to which the tRNAs corresponding amino acid is attached (by aminoacyl-tRNA synthetases). tRNAs cope with the degeneracy of the genetic code in two manners: having more than one tRNA (with a specific anti-codon) for a particular amino acid; and 'wobble' base-pairing, i.e. permitting non-standard base-pairing at the 3rd anti-codon position.
Source: Rfam by way of RNAcentral